RNA transcript from Magnolia sinica, 3515 nucleotides. It is a transcript of the gene named protein FAR1-RELATED SEQUENCE 5-like, with no coding region annotated. The record is from RefSeq and is a predicted model, not a curated record. The transcript is spliced from 6 exons. NCBI's taxonomy places the organism in Eukaryota, Viridiplantae, Streptophyta, Magnoliopsida, Magnoliales, Magnoliaceae.
CAAAUGCGACUCACGCGAUGUGAGGUCUUGGAGAAAAAGAUUCCGCGACGGACGGUAGAAGCAAAGGGGGUGUCGUUUUCCAUCCGGCGCCGCUGCGGAUAGGAAACCAUCAAUCGCGUCGCUGCUUCUCUCUCCAUCAUCGCUAGAUCGAAGAAGAAGUGUCAUGCAAGGCACCAGAAGUAAAGGCAAUGUGGCAAAAGAACCUUACAUGGGUUCAAAAGAUGGUACCGAACGCCUCACAGCCUUGGCUGUCCUCACUCGUGGGUGCGAGCCGUUCGAAAACGACCCUACUGGAUUGUCAUUGAUUGAAUGCAGACAAAUGAUGAGUGGCGAUCCAUAUGUUGGCAUGGAAUUUGAAUCCGAGGAGGCCUCAACAGAAUUUUAUUGUGAAUAUGCUACACGCGUGGGCUUUUGCAUCCGCACCAAUUUGAGGCGUCGUUCAAGGCGCGAUGGAAGCACCAUUGGCCUGGAAUUUGUGUGUUCUAGAGAAGGUUUCCGCACGAAGAAAUGCCCAAGUAAGCGGCCGGAAUCUAGGAAAGGCUGCAAGGCAAGGAUUAGAAUAAAGAAGACAGAGUCUGGGAAAUGGGCUGUUGUAAAAUUUAUUAAAGACCAUAAUCAUGCAUUAGAUACUCCUAGAGACUUGCCUCGCCUUCGCUCACAUAGGCAAGGUUCCAAUAAGCCCAGUGGAUCAAACAACAUUGAAUUCCCUCUGCGAGACAGCACAAGCUACAUUAGAUUUCUCCGAAGGAGGGUAAGUGGAAAAGAUGUUGAGACUGAUGCAAUGAUAGAAAGUCUCACUGGAAAGCCAUCUGAUCAAGAUGAGGAAACUGCAAAUCCGGAUCCAGAAGUGGGUAUGGAGUUUGAAUCUGAGGAGGCCGCGACGCUAUUCUAUUGUGAAUAUGCCAGGCGUGUGGGUUUCAGCAUCCGUACCAGUUUAAGACGCCGCUCAAGGCGCAGUGGGACCACCAUCGGCCUGAAAUUUGUAUGCUCGAAAGAGGGUUUUCGUCGUCAGAAAAGUACAAGCGCACGGCGCGAAACUAGGCAAGGUUGCAAGGCUAUGAUUAAGAUGAAGAGGGCAGAAGCUGGGAAAUGGAUUAUUUCGGACAUUAUGAAGGAACACAAUCAUGCAUUUGCAGUUGCAAAAAAAGUGCCUCUCCUCCAAUCACAUGGACCUUCAUCCAACCAAUCUGGGGAACAUGGUGGUGCCAAUUCGCAAGAGCGUGCGAACUAUAUUCAGAACCUUCGAGAGAAGACCCUGGGAAGAGAUGCUCAGUAUGUGAUAGAAUAUUUCAAGCAUAUGCAAGCGAAAAAUGCUUCCUUUUUUCAUGCGAUUCAAGUUGAUAAAGAGUAUCGUAUGACUAAUUUCUUCUGGGCCGAUGCUAGGGCAAGGAUGGCCUACAAUUACUUUGGUGAUGUGGUCACGCUUGACACCACGUACAGGACAAAUCAAUAUGGAAUUCCGUUUGCUCUUUUCACAGGGGUUAACCAUCAUAAACAACCGGUCCUAUUUGGUUGUGCGCUGCUGCUUGACGAAUCUGAAGCUUCGUUUGUUUGGUUGUUCAAUACAUGGGUUGAAGCAAUGUCUGGACAACAUCCAUUCUCACUCAUUACCGAUCAAGAUCCAGUCAUAGAGGCAGCUGUUGUGAAGGUAUUCCCCAGAACCCGUCACCGCUUUUGCAAGCGGAACAUCCUAAGAAAGUUUUCGGAGAGAUCGAGUCAUUUGGAACAGAAUCAAGAUUUCGUAGCCGAUUUUGCUAAAUGCAUUAAUUUGACUGAGUUAAAUGAUGAGUUUGAAUCAUGUUGGAAGUCACUCAUUGAUAAAUACGAACUCAGCGACAAUGAAUGGCUUCAAUUACUAUACAAAAGUCGUGAUAAAUGGGUCCAAGUCUACUUACAGGACACUUCCUUUGUGAAUAUUUCUCUUACCCGACAAAGCGCAGGUAUAAACUCAUUCUUUGACGGGUACAUGAAUGCACACACCUCCCUGCAAGCAUUCAUUAAUCAGUGCGAAAAAUUCAUAGAUAGUCAGUACGAAAUGGAACUCGAAGAUGAUUUUAAGACAAGCUACACGAAACCGAUAAUGAAGACAGGAUUGCCUCUGGAGAGCCAAGCGGCAGAAAUUUAUACAAGAACAAUAUUCUUGGAAUUUCAGGAGCAAUUAUUCCAGAGUCUUCACCAUAUUGCAGAAAUAACUAAGGAGGAUGGGCCGAUUAGCACUCUAAGGGUGGUAGAAUUUGGGGCCGAGAAGAGGCCAUACACAGUUAAAUUUGAUGUUACGGAAGAGAGGGCAAGUUGUAGCUGCAAAAUGUUUGAGUAUGCCGGCAUUCUUUGUAGACAUGUUCUAAGAGUCUUCUCUAUGAAAAACAUCACGCUGCUCCCAUCUUGUUACAUUUUGAAAAGGUGGACGAAAAACCCCAUGAGCAUAGUCACAUUCGAUGAAGACGAAGCCGAGAUACAAGUUGAUUGUCAAGAAUCUUGGAUGUCGCGAUACAAUGAUCUAUGCCGUCAGGCCAUUAAAUAUGCUGGGGAAGCAGCGACAACCAUAAAUAUUUACAAUGUAGCGAUGCGUGCUCUACGGAAGGCAUUUGAAGAAGUUGAUGCUGCAAAACUAGAUGAUGGGAUACUCAUGGACCCCAGCUUUCCAGUUGAUGGCAGCACUUGCAAAGAUGGUAUUUGCGAAGGCAAUCUACCAGAUCAGCCGAUGGGCGACAUGAGUUCAUCUGAGCCUAGAAAUGGGAAAGCAAAAAGAGGUCUUGAACCUGCACGGGACGAGCAACGGAAGAAGAAAAGAAAAUGUCAGAUCUGCCAGCAUCCGGAUCAUGACAAGCGCAAAUGUCCAUAUUCAAGGGGUGUAGGAGCCAAUUCUAACGCUGCUGAUGCCAUACUCGAAAGCCAGCUACAUGGUGGGCUAACUGGCGAUCAACUUGGGUUUUCCGUUGAAAUUCCUGUUCCAGCGGGUGACAGUCGUUUCCUUCGAUAUAUAUGAUCUUGCCUCAAAUCCUUGAUCUUUGUGCCCGACUAAUUCCCAGGUUUCCAGUGGGACUAGUUUCUAAGAUACAUAUGCUCUUCUGAACUUGUCAUGUGAUCAGUCACACAUCAUAAAACCAACAAGGCCAACCUUGCCGAUUAUCCAAAUUGAGCAGAAGUGCCAAUUAGUAUCUCUAUAUUUACCCAAUUUGAUAGAGUUUGUUAAAGAAAACAGACAAAAAAAAAAGCACUCUGUUUGGUUUGCUUUUCAUGGUGUCAAUCUAUGAUUCUAUAAACACCAGCAAUUUUAUGGCAUUUUCCUAGAAAUGGGCUCAUAACUUGUUUCCAGCUACACUCUGAAUCUAAUCUAAUGCAAGUGAGUUGGCUGUUCUUCUUCACUUUCCUUCCUUCUGCUACCAUCUUUCUGUUGAUUGAUGCCUUUGCAGCUCUGAGAACAUUAGAUAUGCUAUUGCUGAUUGGUUCAAAUUCUGAAAGUCGAUUAGAAAUUAUCAUCUCCAUGUUUGCUUCUUCUUCUUCUUCUUUUUUUU